CUUUUAACUCGGGGCUGCGUCAUAAACACGGAGCGCUUGGAAGACCACGAUGUCAUUUUCCUUCUGUCAGGAGGAUCAAAGUGAAGCUACAGGAGUUUCAUUAACGUCAACAACUUGGACCGAACAGUUUGUUUUGCUUGAUGAAGAGCAGGAAGGGCAGCCUGGAGAGAAAGAGAAGCCGGGUUGAGCCCACUACCAUCAUCCAUGUACCACAAGGAAGAUGAGGGAGAGAAAUGAUCCUACCAUUAAAGAGACUGUGAAAAGAACAUUGAGAACAUCACCACUCUACAGGAAGACACAAUCCAGUAAUGGGUGUCAGAAGUUCAGUAGUGAACGACAGGUACUGUGGAAAAAUGUGUGUCAUUGUUGUACAAUGUCCUUUGACUCUGUUUACACAAGGUUAACACAAAAAGGUUUGAUUGUAAAGUGAUAUUGGUAUGAAUUCAUGUUAUUCUCCUCUUCACAAGAAACAAACAAUCCAAAUUACCUGCAGAAAGCCCUUGAUGGACGCUUCAGCUGCAUCGUCAGACUGGCAGUACUGAUGCAUUUACUGAGAGGGGACGUGAGGGCCUACUCUGCGUGCUCAGAGUUCAAGCCCAGCAGGCUGCAGCGGGCCUGACAUAUUCUGGAACAGCAGCACAGUCUUUGGAUGACUCCUCUGAAGAUGAAAACAUGGCGAGUUCUUCUCAAGAGAAGCAGUACAGGUGUGCCUCAGCUCCACGGUCCCUCCUGCAGCCUCCGCUCCUGAUGCUAACCUCAUGUCUCCAUCACACCAAGGAGCAGACCUGGAUUGACAGACCUUUCUCCAGAGCUGCCCCCUCCCUCUGAAACCCCCCUCUCCAAAACACUAUUUGUGUAGUUUUUAAAGUAUUUUUUGCAUGAGAAUUGUUGAUCAUAUCAUUUCCAGCAGAUGCCUUAAUAUAAUGUUUGUGCACAAUAAAUGACAUUGAUCAUAACAUAAUGGUAUUUCCUUGCACUUCUACACCAUGAUAUUGGCAGAUAAGAUGCUGAUUACAUUAAAGCAGUGAAU
Pleuronectes platessa (European plaice) is the source of this 1030-nucleotide long non-coding RNA. RefSeq lists it as uncharacterized. NCBI's taxonomy places the organism in Eukaryota, Metazoa, Chordata, Actinopteri, Pleuronectiformes, Pleuronectidae. The transcript is spliced from 5 exons. The record is from RefSeq and is a predicted model, not a curated record.